AACCCGUAGUCAUAGUCGGCCGGUCUUUUUUAGAAAAUGGCGAUGUGAAUUUAUUAGAAUAAAUUGAUUGCGUGUGUUUGUGUGGCUGUUUCGUGCUAAAGGUAACAGCAUGAACUGAUUCCUUCCUGGAAGUGCAUGUGAUCCUUAUGUUUGGCCUGAAAAAAUGGGAAAGUACUGAGUCAAUAGAACCUUCUAAAUAAAAAAAAGUGUUGCAUUUUUUCGUGAAAUAUUGAUCAACAACGAUAGAGAGUAUUCUUUUUAAUGAGAGAGAAAACUAGGUUCUGGGAUUCCCAUAGAGAUGGAAAUUUAACCCCGGAAAUUAUAUGAAACGCACCUACAACAUAAUGCGGUUUCCACAAGAAGUAAGGAG
Molecule: long non-coding RNA, 370 nt
Organism: Cylas formicarius (sweet potato weevil)
Lineage: Eukaryota; Metazoa; Arthropoda; Insecta; Coleoptera; Brentidae
Exons: 3
Source: RefSeq, a predicted model, not a curated record